CAGAAAGUAGUUUAUUCGAAAAUGCCGGCUUUGGGAGCUGGAGAGGAAGGUUUAAGUCCUUUCUUUCUGA
Molecule: transfer RNA, 70 nt
Filed under: Rhizothera longirostris
Lineage: Eukaryota; Metazoa; Chordata; Aves; Galliformes; Phasianidae
Description: tRNA-Pro
Rfam family: tRNA
About the family: Transfer RNA (tRNA) molecules are approximately 80 nucleotides in length. Their secondary structure includes four short double-helical elements and three loops (D, anti-codon, and T loops). Further hydrogen bonds mediate the characteristic L-shaped molecular structure. tRNAs have two regions of fundamental functional importance: the anti-codon, which is responsible for specific mRNA codon recognition, and the 3' end, to which the tRNAs corresponding amino acid is attached (by aminoacyl-tRNA synthetases). tRNAs cope with the degeneracy of the genetic code in two manners: having more than one tRNA (with a specific anti-codon) for a particular amino acid; and 'wobble' base-pairing, i.e. permitting non-standard base-pairing at the 3rd anti-codon position.
Source: RNAcentral